AAUAAAAAUUUAUGUUUUUAGAAAAUUUAUUAUAAGUAUAUUUUACAUAUAAAUUUUAGUAUGAAAUUUUAAUUAUUUUAAUAAUAAUUGAUUAAUAAUUAUAGUAAUUAACAUUAAAAAUUUAAGAAAUUAAGAUUUAGUAAUAUAAAAAUUAAUAACUAAUUUUGUGCCAGCAGUUGCGGUUAUACAAAAAUUAAAUUAAAUUAUUUCAGUAUUUAAUUAAUAAAAUAUAAAUUAAAAUAAAUAUUAAAUUAUUAGGUGAAAUUUUAAUUCAAUUAAAUUUUAAAUUGAUUUUAUGAUUUAAUAAAUUUAAUAGUAAACUAGGAUUAGAUACCCUAUUAUUAUAAAAUUGAUUUAAAAUACUAAAAUAGUAGAUAAUAAAUAUUGAAACUUAAAUAAUAUGGCGGUAUUUUAGUUCAUUUAGAGGAAUCUGUUUAAUAAUUGAUAGUCCACGAAUAAAUUUACUUAAUUUAAAAUUUUAUAUAUCGUUGUUAAAAAAAUAUUUUAUAAUAAAAAUAAUAUUUAAAAAUUUAUAUUUAAAAUUAAUUCAGAUCAAGAUGUAGAUUAUAAUUAAGAAUAUAAUGGAUUACAAUAAAAUAAUUUAUAAUGAAUAAUUCAAUUUUAAAUUUAAUUUGAAGGUGGAUUUAAAUGUAAUUUUAAUUAAUUUAUUAAAAUGAUUAAAAAUUGAAAUAUGUACAUAUUGCCCGUCACUUUCAUUUGAAAAUUGAAAUAAGUCGUAACAAAGUAGAAGUACUGGAAAGUGUUUCUAGAAUGAA
RNAcentral lists this non-coding RNA (776 nucleotides) under Lopinga achine (woodland brown). Lineage: Eukaryota; Metazoa; Arthropoda; Insecta; Lepidoptera; Nymphalidae. The record is from RNAcentral.